GCCUGUGGCGCAGCGGUAGCGCAGAGGACUCAUAAUCCUUUGGUCGCAGGUUCGAAUCCUGCCGGGCC
RNAcentral lists this transfer RNA (68 nucleotides) under human gut metagenome. It matches the Rfam family "tRNA". From Rfam's summary of the family: Transfer RNA (tRNA) molecules are approximately 80 nucleotides in length. The record is from RNAcentral.